This 341-nucleotide RNase P RNA is filed under the name Francisella noatunensis subsp. noatunensis. Its description in RNAcentral is "RNase P RNA component class A". It matches the Rfam family "Bacterial RNase P class A". From Rfam's summary of the family: Ribonuclease P (RNase P) is a ubiquitous endoribonuclease, found in archaea, bacteria and eukarya as well as chloroplasts and mitochondria. Its best characterised activity is the generation of mature 5'-ends of tRNAs by cleaving the 5'-leader elements of precursor-tRNAs. Cellular RNase Ps are ribonucleoproteins. RNAcentral also lists the same sequence under 2 other names. The record is from RNAcentral. Lineage: Bacteria; Pseudomonadati; Pseudomonadota; Gammaproteobacteria; Thiotrichales; Francisellaceae.
AAAGUUAGUCGGACAGUCGCACUUUUUAUAAGUGAGGAAAGUCCGGGCUUUAUAGAGCAAGAUGCCAGAUAACGUCUGGGAGGCGUGAGCCUACGGAAAGUGCAACAGAAAAUAAACCGCUUUUUUUACAAAAAGGUAAGGGUGAAAAGGUGUGGUAAGAGCACACCGCAUUGGUGGUAACACUCAAUGGCAUUGUAAACCCCAUCUAAAGCAAGACCAAAUAGCGCUACGAAAAUGUUGCUCGCAUUGUAGCAGGGUAGGUCGCUUGAGCUUGUUGGUGACAAUAGGCCUAGAUAAAUGACUGUCUAUUACAGAACCCGGCUUAUAGACUAGCUUUGUAU